This 67-nucleotide transfer RNA is filed under the name Marmota monax (woodchuck). RNAcentral describes it as "tRNA.Val". It matches the Rfam family "tRNA". From Rfam's summary of the family: Transfer RNA (tRNA) molecules are approximately 80 nucleotides in length. Their secondary structure includes four short double-helical elements and three loops (D, anti-codon, and T loops). The record is from RNAcentral. Lineage: Eukaryota; Metazoa; Chordata; Mammalia; Rodentia; Sciuridae.
GGUUAUGGCUCAGUGGUAGAGCACUUGCCUCACAUGUAUGAGGCACUGGGUCCAAUCCUCAGCACCA